RNAcentral lists this ribosomal RNA (484 nucleotides) under uncultured bacterium. RNAcentral describes it as "partial 16S ribosomal RNA". It matches the Rfam family "Bacterial small subunit ribosomal RNA", at positions 28 to 507 of the family's 1533-position model. The record is from RNAcentral.
GAUGAACGCUGGCGGCGUGCCUAACACAUGCAAGUCGAACGGAAAGGCCCUGCUUGCAGGGUACUCGAGUGGCGAACGGGUGAGUAACACGUGGGUGAUUUGCCCUGCACUUCGGGUUAAGCUUGGGAAAGUGGGCCUAAUACCGGAUAGGAACUAUCUUGAGCGUGGUGGUUGGAAAGUUUUUUCGGUGUUGGAUGAGCCCGCGGCGUAGUAGCUAGUUGGUGGGGUAAUGGCCUACCAAGGCGGCGACGCGUAGCCGGCCUGAGAGGGUGAGCCGACACACGGGAACUGACACACGGUCCAGACUCGUACGGGAGGCCGCAGUCGGGAAUGGUGCAGAAGUGGCGAAAGUCGGACAGAGCGAGGAAGCGUGAGGGAGGAAGGCCUCCUGAGCGUAGAACGCUUUCAGUUGGGAAGAACAUAUGUGUAGGGACGAAUGUUUGUUUUGACGGUACCUAAACAAGAAGCACCGGCUAACUACGUG